This is a long non-coding RNA of Sinocyclocheilus rhinocerous, 190 nucleotides long. RefSeq lists it as uncharacterized. The transcript is spliced from 3 exons. Lineage: Eukaryota; Metazoa; Chordata; Actinopteri; Cypriniformes; Cyprinidae. The record is from RefSeq and is a predicted model, not a curated record.
GGAUGGGCUUCGCAGAACAAAACUGCCAGGUUCCUUAAAGGCUUCCCCGGUCCUUUUGGAUCAAGACUACUCGCUCAAGGAAGGCCAGUUUUACUUCUUUAGUUAAGUCGCUGCUAUAUGAUUCAUGUCACUGCUUUUGCACUGAGCCUCCCUUUUUCUGGGCUGUGGGUAGGGCUGGACAAUAAUUUAA